This 2443-nucleotide ribosomal RNA is filed under the name human gut metagenome. RNAcentral describes it as "bacterial LSU rRNA". It matches the Rfam family "Bacterial large subunit ribosomal RNA", at positions 599 to 2925 of the family's 2925-position model. The record is from RNAcentral.
GCGUGCCUAUCGAAAAAUGAGUCUGCGAGUCAGUGGCAUGUGGCGAGCAUAACCCGUGUGGGGUAUGCGUAGCGAAGGCGAGUCUUAAAAGGCGUUUGAGUCGCGUGUCCUGGACCCGAAGCGGGAUGAUCUAGCCCUGAGCAGGUUGAAGCGCGGGUAAGACCGCGUGGAGGACCGAACCCACCUGGGUUGAAAACCGGGGGGAUGACUUGGGGCUAGGGGUGAAAGGCCAAUCAAAUUCCGUGAUAGCUGGUUCUCUCCGAAAUGCAUUUGGGUGCAGCGUCGGGUCAUUACGUCCCGGGGGUAGAGCUACUGGAUGCUUGCGGGCCCGUAUCGGGUACCAACAGCAACCAAACUCCGAAUACCGGUGACGCGUAUCCCGGCAGUGAGUCGGCGGGGGAUAAGCUUCGUCGUCGAAAGGGAAACAGCCCAGACCGUCGUCUAAGGUCCCGAAGCGUGUGCUAAGUGGGAAAGGAUGUGGAGUCGCAUAGACAGCCAGGAGGUUGGCUCAGAAGCAGCCACCCUUGAAAGAGUGCGUAACAGCUCACUGGUCUAGUGGUUCCGCGCCGACAAUGUAGCGGGGCUCAAGCACACCACCGAAGACGCGGCAGUAUUUUGUACUGGGUAGGAGAGCGUCCCAUGAGGGGCGAAGCGGCCGUGUGAACGCGCCGUGGACUUCAUGGGAGUGAGAAUGCAGACAUGAGUAGCGAGAGACGGGUGAAGAUCCCGUCCGCUGGAUGACCAAGGGUUCCAGGGCCACGUUCAUCGUCCCUGGGUGAGUCGGGUCCUAAGGCGAGGCCGACAGGCGUAGUCGAAUGGAUGAACGGGUCGAUAUUCCCGUACCGGCUUUCAGCCGCCAAAACCGAGGCUUGGAGUACUAACCUCCGGGUCCGGGCUUACUGCUCCUUCGGGGGCGGGAUGCCCUGGCCUGUUGGGACCGAUCCUUGUAGUAGGUCAGCGCAGGAGUGACGCAGAAGGGUAGCCGGCCGCGGAGGUGGUCUUCCGUGGUCAAGCACGCAGGGCGUGGGACAGGCAAAUCCGUCCCGCAUGGGUCCGAGGUGCGAUGAUGGGGGCCUUAUGGCCCGAUAUCCGGUGAUCCCGGCUGCCGAGAAAAGCUUCGGCGUCAGGCUCGAAGCCGCCCGUACCCCAAACCGACACUGGUGGUCAGGUAGAGAAUACCAAAGCGAUCGAGCGAAUCCUGGUCAAGGAACUCGGCAAAUCACUCCCGUUCCUUCGGUUUAAGGGAGACCCCCGAUGGUGAACACACUUGCUGUGGGAGCUUUUGGGGGUGGCACAGACCAGGGGGUAGCGACUGUUUACCAAAAACACAGGUGCAUGCGAAGGCGCAAGCCGCUGUAUAUGCACUGACGCCUGCCCGGUGCCGGAAGGUUAAGAGGAGAUGUCAGGAGCAAUCCGAAGCAGUGAAUUGAAGCCCCGGUAAACGGCGGCCGUAACUAUAACGGUCCUAAGGUAGCGAAAUUCCUUGUCGGGUAAGUUCCGACCUGCACGAAUGGCGUAACGACUUCCCCACUGUCUCGACCAGGAGCUCGGCGAAAUUGCAGUACGAGUAAAGAUGCUCGUUAAGCGCAGAAGGACGAAAAGACCCCGGGACCUUUACUAUACCUUGGUAUUGGCAUUCGGUGUGGAUUGUGUAGCAUAGGCGGGAGGCCGAGAGGCGCGGUCGCCAGAUCGCGCGGAGCCGUAAGGUGAAAUACCGCUCUGUUCGCAUUGGAUGUCUAACCUCGAACAGUCAUCCUGUUCAGGGACAGUGCCUGGCGGGUAGUUUAACUGGGGCGGUUGCCUCCCAAAGAGUAACGGAGGCGCCCAAAGGUCCGCUCAGCCCGGUUGGCAAUCGGGUGGCGAGUGCAAGUGCACAAGCGGGCUUGACUGCGAGGACGACGGUCCGAGCAGGGACGAAAGUCGGGACUAGUGAUCCGGUGCCGGUGUACGGACGCGGCAUCGCUCAACGGAUAAAAGGUACUCCGGGGAUAACAGGCUGAUCAUUCCCAAGAGUCCAUAUCGACGGGAUGGUUUGGCACCUCGAUGUCGGCUCGUCGCAUCCUGGGGCUGGAGCAGGUCCCAAGGGUUCGGCUGUUCGCCGAUUAAAGCGGCACGCGAGCUGGGUUCAGAACGUCGUGAGACAGUUUGGUCUCUAUCCUCUGCGCUCGUUGGAAUGCUGAGGAGGCCUGCCCAUAGUACGAGAGGACCUGGGUGGACGAACCUCUGGUAUGCCGGUUGUCACGCCAGUGGCACGGCCGGUUGGCUACGUUCGGAAGGGAUAACCGCUGAAAGCAUCUAAGCGGGAAGCCUGCUCCAAGAUAAGCAUUCCGUGGAACCUUCGAGUUCCUGUAGUCCCCAUGCAGAACACGUGGUUGAUAGGCCGGACGUGGAAGCCCCGCGAGGGGUGGAGCCGACCGGUACUAACGGACGAAAGGCAACACUA